UCAGCAGUCUGCAAUUGCAGGUUGCGAUCACAGCUGUUGUGGUACGUCCUUUUUUUUUUUUUUUAAUGAAUAUUCUCAUUCAAAGUUUGUUUCAUGGACAAUCCAGCGUUGACACUGGCAACGAAUGGGAAUCUGGAGCGCCAGGAGAAGCAUUUUAAAGUAGAUCUUGGUCAAAAAAGGUUGGACACGCCUGCCCCAGAAUAAUCCGACAUAUGCACAAACUUCCAUUUCUGCAAAAAAUGAGCAGUGUUGAUAGCGGCUGAGAACUCGAGAACAAAAAGCUAAACAUGAUUGUGUUCUUUGGUUGAUUCUUGAUCAUUUCCCCAAAACACGAUAUGACCAAUCCAGCAAAAAAGCCUUCAAAUGAACAAGGGCAAAA
Molecule: long non-coding RNA, 379 nt
Organism: Hippocampus zosterae (dwarf seahorse)
Lineage: Eukaryota; Metazoa; Chordata; Actinopteri; Syngnathiformes; Syngnathidae
Exons: 2
Source: RefSeq, a predicted model, not a curated record